ACUUCUACACCUAAAAAUUAUCUUAAUCCAACAUCGAGGUCGCAAUCUCUUUUAUCGAUAUGUUCUCUCUAAAAAUAUUACGCUGUUAUCCCUUAAGUAACUUAAUCUUUUAAUCAUUAUAAAAUGGAUCAAUUCAUAUAUUAAUGAAAUAAAAGUUAAUUAAAUUUUCUUAUCACCCCAAUAAAAUAUCAUAUAAAGCUUUAAAGGGUCUUCUCGUCCUUUAAUAAUAUUUAAGCUUUUUAACUUAAAAAUUAAAUUCUAAAACAUUUAAAAUAAGACAGUUAAUAUUUCAUUCAAUCAUUCAUACCAGCUUCUAAUUAAGAAACUAUUUAUUAUGCUACCUUUGUACAGUCAAAAUACCGCAGCCUUUUUCAAUGGGCAGAU
RNAcentral lists this ribosomal RNA (384 nucleotides) under Frontopsylla wagneri wagneri. Its description in RNAcentral is "partial 16S ribosomal RNA". The record is from RNAcentral. Lineage: Eukaryota; Metazoa; Arthropoda; Insecta; Siphonaptera; Leptopsyllidae.